AUGCCCAAUGGGGCACAAGCUUCGACUGAGGAGGGCGAGGCGAGCGGGGGCGAGAGUCAGGAAGAGGAGGUAUGGGACUCGGAUGUUGCAGAGGAUGAUGACGACGAUGAUGAUGAUGACGGUGAUGAAGACGACGUCGAGGACGACGAAGAAGAGGAGGAGGAGGUUGUACCACCGCGCUCAGAAAGGCGGUCAAAGCUUGUCCACGAUCCUUCGACCGAACGUGGUAAGGGGGUUGCGACCGCCACUCAGUCGACCAAGCGCCCUCGGACCACCUCUCCGGUGCCGACUGAAAAGGCGCCGAAGCAGCCCAGGGCGGCCUCGUCGAAGCCGAUCAAGCUCUUGCCGAAGAUGAAGGUGUCCAUCCCCACCAUAUCAGGUGCUGCUACUUCUGAGACCUCGGCCCGGGCCGAUGACCACGAGAUGGAGGAUGCGGCAACUUCGAACCCAGCUCCGCCCAAUACUGUUAUCAAUCUUCCUGACGACGACGAGGAUGAAGAACCACUGGCACGCAGGAAGAGUCGGAAAACGCCCGCCAGUAAGGUGCCUCAGGAUGUGACGACGCCUGAGACUCUGACUGUGGAGGAAGAGAACACCACUCGACACACGGUGUCCUUCGCAAAUCCACUGACGAGUGCUCAGCAGCCCUCCCUCUUCACGACUCACCACGUCCCAGAGGACCAAGCUGGUGCAGCGAAGGAAGCAAUACGCCAGGCGGGACUCAUGAUGGAGCAGCUGAAGACCAUCCGGGACGCGAGCCAGGCAGCUUAUGACGCCAGCUCUGCCCUCCAAAGCAAUGUCCAGAACUCUUGUGAUCUUGUGGCUCGCUACUCAGAGCUGGAACAAAAACAUACUCAAGUCGAGCUGAGCUUGAAGCUGGUUCAGGAGAAAUUGACAAAGGCAAAGGAGGAGACCGAAGGUAAGGUAAGGGAGGCCCAGCAGAAGAAAGACCUUGAGCUAGCUGAGAAGAUCAAGCUUGCUGACGAGAAGUUAGCUUCAGUCACCAAGCUCGAACAAGACAAUACCAAUCUGAAAGCUGCUCUUGGGAUUGCCAACAAGGAAGUCAGUCGACUGAAAACUGAUAAAGCUGCCCUGACCGACCAAGUCAGCAAAUUGACUGAGAAGAAAACUGCACUGGAGGCCUUCCUGAGUGGCCUUGCCAAGAAGCUGUUUCUUAUGCUUGAAGGUAAACCUCCAUGUUUGGCAAAUAUUUCCAAUUGUGGUUUUUCCAUUCGACUAUCCCCUUGA
This 1248-nucleotide ribosomal RNA is filed under the name Triticum aestivum (bread wheat). RNAcentral describes it as "partial small subunit ribosomal RNA". Lineage: Eukaryota; Viridiplantae; Streptophyta; Magnoliopsida; Poales; Poaceae. The record is from RNAcentral.